This 253-nucleotide unclassified non-coding RNA is filed under the name uncultured Pirellulaceae bacterium. RNAcentral describes it as "contains 16S-23S intergenic spacer region". It matches the Rfam family "Bacterial small subunit ribosomal RNA", at positions 524 to 776 of the family's 1533-position model. The record is from RNAcentral. Lineage: Bacteria; Pseudomonadati; Planctomycetota; Planctomycetia; Pirellulales; Pirellulaceae.
CACGAACCGGACAAACGUUAUUCGGAAUUAUUGGGCUUAAAGGGUGCGUAGGCGGUGCUGUAAGCCGGGUGUGAAAUCCCACGGCUCAACCGUGGAACUGCGCCUGAUACUGCAGUGCUAGAGGGAGACAGAGGUAAGCGGAACUGAUGGUGGAGCGGUGAAAUGCGUUGAUAUCAUCAGGAACACCAGUGGCGAAAGCGGCUUACUGGGUCUCUUCUGACGCUGAGGCACGAAAGCUAGGGUAGCGAACGGG